CAAUAGCGUAUAUUAAAGUUGUUGCGGUUAAAAAGCUCGUAGUUGGAUCUCGGCGAGUAGGGGGCGGUUAGUUGCUUAACUGUACUGCUCCAUUUACUCGUGUUUUUGACGGAGGUUGCCGGGUGCUCUUCAUCGAGUGUCCGGUGAUGCCGUCAGGUUUACUUUGAAAAAAAUAGAGUGCUCAAAGCAGGCUUCACACGCUUGAAUAUUCGUGCAUGGAAUAAUAGAAUAGGACGUCGUUUCUAUUUUGUUGGUUUUCGGAAAUUGACGUAAUGAUUAAUAGUGACAGUCGGGGGCAUUAGUAUUCAAACGACAGAGGUGAAAUUCUUGGACCGUUUGAAGACUAACUACUGCGAAAGCAUUUGCCAAGAAUGUUUUCAUUAA
Molecule: ribosomal RNA, 384 nt
Filed under: uncultured eukaryote
Lineage: Eukaryota
Description: partial 18S ribosomal RNA
Rfam family: Eukaryotic small subunit ribosomal RNA
Source: RNAcentral